This 253-nucleotide ribosomal RNA is filed under the name uncultured bacterium. RNAcentral's name for it is "partial 16S ribosomal RNA". It matches the Rfam family "Bacterial small subunit ribosomal RNA", at positions 524 to 776 of the family's 1533-position model. The record is from RNAcentral.
UACGGGGGGGGCAAGCGUUGUUCGGAAUUACUGGGCGUAAAGGGCUCGUAGGCUGCCAACUAAGUCAGACGUGAAAUCCCUCGGCUUAACCGGGGAACUGCGUCUGAUACUGGAUGGCUUGAGAUCGGGAGAGGGAUGCGGAAUUCCAGGUGUAGCGGUGAAAUGCGUAGAUAUCUGGAGGAACACCGGUGGCGAAGGCGGCAUCCUGGACCGACACUGACGCUGAGGCGCGAAAGCUAGGGGAGCAAACGGG